AACCUUCAAACAGGCGUGGCCUUUCUCCCCUAAAAAACGGCAUCCAAUGAGAAUGUGCCACGUAGACACUCCAUUUUCAAACCUUGUAGCCGCAUUGCAGUGAAACUCUCCCUUUUCCAUCUCCCUCCCUCCCUCCCUCAGGAACCACUCCCUCCAUCGAGCGCUAGCCACCAAGAGCCUAAGCAGUAAGCAACCAAAAUUUCAGUGAAAAUUGGACAACUUACCUCAUGCAACAAACCAUAAUUUGCAGAGCCACUUCUUUAGGACCUUCAAAACAUUUUUACAGUAAAGGGUACAAGAAAAUGCAAAAGCAAAGAACCCUUAUUUUCUCUAACCCUAACCUUGUGGGCUUGAAUAGAGAAAAACAGAGCAACUUUUUGAAUGACUUAUGCACGAAACAAGAAGCCCACUUGGUGAAAAGGCAUGGUUCAGAGGAAAGAAAAAAUUUAGAUCGUGAAAAUAAAGACUUCCUUUCACACAUUGCUCAGCACCAAAAACAAAGAACUAGUUGUUUCCAUGAAAGAGAGAGAAAGACAGAGCAAGCAAGAGAAAUAGUUGGUAUCUUAAAUCGAAGCCAUUGACGGAAACACAAAGUUUGACUUGUUCGAUGCCUUGCCUGAUGAUCUUGUCAUUUCUAUUCUCUGCAAACUCAGCUCCACAGCCGGAAGCCCCUUCGAUUUCAUCAACGUUUUGAUAACGUGCAAGAGGUUAAACGGAUUGGGUCUCCAUUUUCUAGCAUUAUUCAAAGCUUCACAAAAAACGUUUGCGAUAAGAGUGAAGAACUGGUCCAACUCGCUCACAGUUUGCUAUCCCCUGUAAUGUGGUUCAUGGAAUUUAGUGUGGAUUGCUAA
Molecule: long non-coding RNA, 851 nt
Organism: Carya illinoinensis
Lineage: Eukaryota; Viridiplantae; Streptophyta; Magnoliopsida; Fagales; Juglandaceae
Exons: 2
Source: RefSeq, a predicted model, not a curated record